CCCGGGGACCCGGGCCACCGGGGUACGGGGUAGGUAAACGGUAACCGGUCGGUUGGUCGAACCCUAACGUCCCGGGCCCCGGACCAACGUAGGGGUAGGGUAAAUUAACCGGUACCGGGAAAAAGUAAACCGGUUCCCGGUUAACUUAAACCGUACCCGACUAGUACGACGGGNGGAAGGCGCAUGCCUUUCCGCCAAAGGAGGCGACUCCGGUGCCGGCUGGGCACGCGUGACAUUAGCUAGUUGGCGGGGCGACGGCCCACCAAGGCGACGAUGUCUAGGGGUUCUGAGAGGAAGGUCCCCCACACUGGUACUGAGACACGGACCAGACUCCUACGGAAGGCAGCAG
Molecule: ribosomal RNA, 349 nt
Filed under: uncultured bacterium
Lineage: Bacteria
Description: bacterial SSU rRNA
Rfam family: Bacterial small subunit ribosomal RNA
Source: RNAcentral